RNAcentral lists this ribosomal RNA (272 nucleotides) under uncultured bacterium. RNAcentral describes it as "partial 16S ribosomal RNA". It matches the Rfam family "Bacterial small subunit ribosomal RNA", at positions 524 to 784 of the family's 1533-position model. The record is from RNAcentral.
UACGAAGGGGGCUAGCGUUGCUCGGAAUUACUGGGCGUAAAGGGAGCGUAGGCGGAUAGUUUAGUCAGAGGUGAAAGCCCAGGGCUCAACCUUGGAAUUGCCCUUUGAUACUGGCUAUCUUGAGUAUGGAAGAGGUAAUGUGGAACUCCGAGUGUAGAGGUGAAAUUCGUAGAUAUUCGGAAGAACACCAGUGGCGGAAGGGCGAACAUACUGGUCCAUUUACUGGACGCUGAGGCUCGGAAAAGCGUGGGGAGCAAACAGGGAUUAAGAAA